Molecule: ribosomal RNA, 431 nt
Filed under: uncultured bacterium
Lineage: Bacteria
Description: partial 16S ribosomal RNA
Rfam family: Bacterial small subunit ribosomal RNA
Source: RNAcentral
AACGAACGCUGGCGGCAGGCCUAACACAUGCAAGUCGAGCGAGGACUUCGGUCCUAGCGGCGGACGGGUGAGUAACGCGUGGGAACGUGCCCUUUGCUUCGGAAUAGCCCUGGGAAACUGGGAGUAAUACCGGAUGAGCCCUUUGGGGGAAAGAUUUAUCGGCGAAGGAUCGGCCCGCGUUGGAUUAGGUGGUUGGGGGGGUAAUGGCCUACCAAGCCGACGAUCCAUAGCGGGUUUGAGAGGAUGAUCAGCCACACUGGGACUGAGACACGGCCCAGCCCCCCACGGGGGGCAGAGGGGGGAAAUUUUAAAAAAGGGGGGAACCCCGGAUCUCGCCCUGCCGGGUGGGGGAAGAGGGCUUUAGGUUUGAAAAGCUCUUUCAGCGGGGAAGAAAAGGGCGGAACCAGAAAAAGACGCCCCGGCUACCCCCG